This 464-nucleotide ribosomal RNA is filed under the name uncultured bacterium. Its description in RNAcentral is "partial 16S ribosomal RNA". It matches the Rfam family "Bacterial small subunit ribosomal RNA", at positions 339 to 795 of the family's 1533-position model. The record is from RNAcentral.
CUACGGGCGGCACCAGUAAGGAAUAUUGGUCAAUGGGCGAAAGCCUGAACCAGCCAUGCCGCGUGAGUGAAGACGGCCUUCGGGUUGUAAAACUCUUUUCUAAGGGAAGAACCAACAGGACAGGAAAUGGUCCCGCUCUGACGGUACCUUAGGAAUAAGGAACGGCUAACUCCGUGCCAGCAGCCGCGGCAAUACGGAGGUUCCAAGCGUUGUUCGGAUUUACUGGGCGUAAAGGGAGCGCAGGCGGAAGGGUCAGUCUGAAGUGGAAUCCCGGGGCUCAACCUCGGACGUGCUUUGGAUACUGCCCUUCUUGAGUCCGUGAGAGGAAAGCGGAAUUCAGGGUGUAGCGGUGAAAUGCUUAGAUAUCCUGAGGAACACCAAUGGCGAAAGCAGCUUUCUGGCACGUGACUGACGCUGAGGCUCGAAAGCGUGGGGAGCGAACGGGAUUAGAUACCCUUGUAGUC